GCUGGGCAUGGUGGCGGGUGCCUGUAAUCCCAGCUACUUAGGAGGCUGAGGCAGGAGAAUCACUUGAACCUGGGAGGUGGGCAUUGCAAUAAGCUGAGAUUAUGCCACUGCACUCUAGCCUGGGCAACAGAGUGAGACUCUGUCUCUA
This is an unclassified non-coding RNA of Macaca fascicularis (crab-eating macaque), 148 nucleotides long. It matches the Rfam family "Metazoan signal recognition particle RNA". Rfam says of the family: The signal recognition particle (SRP) is a universally conserved ribonucleoprotein. It is involved in the co-translational targeting of proteins to membranes. Lineage: Eukaryota; Metazoa; Chordata; Mammalia; Primates; Cercopithecidae. The record is from Ensembl.